RNAcentral lists this ribosomal RNA (1187 nucleotides) under 'Vicia faba' phyllody phytoplasma. Its description in RNAcentral is "bacterial SSU rRNA". It matches the Rfam family "Bacterial small subunit ribosomal RNA", at positions 202 to 1400 of the family's 1533-position model. Lineage: Bacteria; Bacillati; Mycoplasmatota; Mollicutes; Acholeplasmatales; Acholeplasmataceae. The record is from RNAcentral.
AGUAAUAGGUAUGCUUUAGGAGGGGCUUGCGCCAUAUUAGUUAGUUGGUAGGGUAAUGGCCUACCAAGACGAUGAUGUGUAGCUGGACUGAGAGGUUGAACAGCCACAUUGGGACUGAGACACGGCCCAAACUCCUACGGGAGGCAGCAGUAGGGAAUUUUCGGCAAUGGAGGAAACUCUGACCGAGCAACGCCGCGUGAAUGACGAAGUACUUCGGUAUGUAAAGUUCUUUUAUCAAGGAAGAAAAGCAAAUGGCGAACCAUUUGUUUGCCGGUACUUGAUGAAUAAGCCCCGGCUAAUUAUGUGCCAGCAGCCGCGGUAAGACAUAAGGGGCAAGUGUUAUCCGGAAUUAUUGGGCGUAAAGGGUGCGUAGGCGGUCUAGUAAGUCAGUGGUGUAAUGGCAACGCUUAACGUUGUCCGGCUAUUGAAACUGCUAAACUUGAGUUAGAUAGAGGCGAGUGGAAUUCCAUGUGUAGCGGUAAAAUGCGUAAAUAUAUGGAGGAACACCAGAGGCGUAGGCGGCUCGCUGGGUCUUAACUGACGCUGAGGCACGAAAGCGUGGGGAGCAAACAGGAUUAGAUACCCUGGUAGUCCACGCCGUAAACGAUGAGUACUAAGUGUCGGUUAAACCGGUACUGAAGUUAACACAUUAAGUACUCCGCCUGAGUAGUACGUACGCAAGUAUGAAACUUAAAGGAAUUGACGGGACUCCGCACAAGCGGUGGAUCAUGUUGUUUAAUUCGAAGAUACCCGAAAAACCUUACCAGGUCUUGACAUGUUUUUGCAAAAUGAUAGUAAUAUCGUGGAGGUUACCAGAAACACAGGUGGUGCAUGGUUGUCGUCAGCUCGUGUCGUGAGAUGUUAGGUUAAGUCCUAAAACGAGCGAAACCCUUAUCGUUAGUUGCCAGCACGUUAUGGUGGGGACUUUAACGAGACUGCCAAUGAUAAAUUGGAGGAAGGUGAGGAUCACGUCAAAUCAGCAUGCCCCUUAUGACCUGGGCUACAAACGUGAUACAAUGGCUGUUACAAAGGGUAGCUGAAACGCAAGUUCUUGGCCAAUCCCCAAAAACAGUCCCAGUCCGGAUUGAAGUCUGCAACUCGACUUCAUGAAGUUGGAAUCGCUAGUAAUCGCGAAUCAGCAUGUCGCGGUGAAUACGUUCUCGGGGUUUGUACACACCGCCCGUCAA